GUAACAAGGUCUCCGUUGGUGAACCAGCGGAGGGAUCAUUACCGAGUUUACAACUCCCAAACCCCAAUGUGAACGUUACCAAUCUGUUGCCUCGGCGGGAUUCUCUGCCCCGGGCGCGUCGCAGCCCCGGAUCCCAUGGCGCCCGCCGGAGGACCAACUCAAACUCUUUUUUCUCUCCGUCGCGGCUUCCGUCGCGGCUCUGUUUUACCUUUGCUCUGAGCCUUUCUCGGCGACCCUAGCGGGCGUCUCGAAAAUGAAUCAAAACUUUCAACAACGGAUCUCUUGGUUCUGGCAUCGAUGAAGAACGCAGCGAAAUGCGAUAAGUAAUGUGAAUUGCAGAAUUCAGUGAAUCAUCGAAUCUUUGAACGCACAUUGCGCCCGCCAGUAUUCUGGCGGGCAUGCCUGUCCGAGCGUCAUUUCAACCCUCGAACCCCUCCGGGGGGUCGGCGUUGGGGAUCGGCCCCUCACCGGGCCGCCCCCGAAAUACAGUGGCGGUCUCGCCGCAGCCUCUCCUGCGCAGUAGUUUGCACACUCGCACCGGGAGCGCGGCGCGGCCACAGCCGUAAAACACCCCAAACUCUGAAAUGUUGACCUCGGAUCAGGUAGGAAUACCCGCUGAACUUAAGCAUAUCAAUA
This 636-nucleotide ribosomal RNA is filed under the name Trichoderma sp. 1 AE-2013. Its description in RNAcentral is "eukaryotic LSU rRNA". The stretch from base 263 to 416 matches the Rfam family "5.8S ribosomal RNA". The record is from RNAcentral. Lineage: Eukaryota; Fungi; Ascomycota; Sordariomycetes; Hypocreales; Hypocreaceae.